RNAcentral lists this ribosomal RNA (253 nucleotides) under uncultured bacterium. RNAcentral describes it as "partial 16S ribosomal RNA". It matches the Rfam family "Bacterial small subunit ribosomal RNA", at positions 524 to 776 of the family's 1533-position model. The record is from RNAcentral.
UACGUAGGGUGCGAGCGUUGUCCGGAAUUAUUGGGCUUAAAGAGCUUGUAGGCGGUUUGUCGCGUCUGCUGUGAAAAUCCGGGGCUCAACCCCGGACUUGCAGUGGGUACGGGCAGACUAGAGUGUGGUAGGGGAGACUGGAAUUCCUGGUGUAGCGGUGAAAUGCGCAGAUAUCAGGAGGAACACCGAUGGCGAAGGCAGGUCUCUGGGCCACUACUGACGCUGAGAAGCGAAAGCAUGGGGAGCGAACAGG